GCCUAGCCGUAAACUUUUAUUUACACCCAAUCGCCAGGGAACUACGAGCUAAGCUUAAAACCCAAAGGACUUGACGGUGCCCCAUAUCCCCCUAGAGGAGCCUGUCCUAUAAUCGAUAAUCCACGUUCAACCUCACCAUCUUUAGUUAAUCAGCCUGUAUACCUCCGUCGUCAGCUUACCACGUGAGCGCCAAUUAGUGAGCUUAAUGUUCUUCACCAAUACGUCAGGUCAAGGUGCAGCAAAUGAGAUGGGAAGAGAUGGGCUACACUCUCUAUUUUAGAAAAAACGAAAAACUACCUAUGAAACCUAGUUAGAAGGCGGAUUUAGCAGUAAAAAGGAAUCAGCAUGUCCAUUUUAAUCCGGCACUGGGGUGUGU
This 376-nucleotide ribosomal RNA is filed under the name Duttaphrynus melanostictus (Asian common toad). RNAcentral describes it as "partial 12S ribosomal RNA". It matches the Rfam family "Bacterial small subunit ribosomal RNA", at positions 794 to 1384 of the family's 1533-position model. Lineage: Eukaryota; Metazoa; Chordata; Amphibia; Anura; Bufonidae. The record is from RNAcentral.